GCUCACAAGUUGAAUUCGUUGCGUCCUGUGUGUGUCCUGUUUUCCAGCAGCAGUCCGUUGCAGUGGCAGAUUAUAAGAAAAAUCGCUCAAGGAAACUCAACUAGCAGCAGCAGCAGCAGCAGCGAAGCGUCAGCAGAAACUUCGGCAGGAAAAGUCAGCCAGCGAGGAUUUCUCUUAAACAAAGUGACAAGAAAAGUGUGAAAAACUCUUGGAAAAUACGAACUGCUAAAGAAGACGCGUGACUGUGUUUGUGCACUGCAGAGCACUGAAAGACCUCACUAUUCACACUACUGGCGGCGCCACCUAGCGACCGCUAGACGCAACUACUUUUCAUAGUUUCGCUCAAAGUUGAGUAGUUAUUAUUUUCGCUGUCCUGGCCGCCAUUUAAUGAGAUGCUCUGUCAAAGUAAUUUGCAUAAUUUGUGAACCGUGUCGGCGGGUUUUUUUCAUGCUUUUUCUGGCCUUUCUCGCCUUUCCUCCUGCAAUUGUACAAUGCAUUAUUUAUUCGACUGUCCGCUCGACACCUUCAACACAAGCAAUUACACUGGCAAUUAUGAAAAAAAAAAAAAAAAAAAAAAAAUAACAACGACUGACCUUGCUGGACCGCAUGCAUUUAACGAACAAGGACAUGGAUACAAUGGCACAUUGUAAUAUAAUUCAUUUGCCAACACAAACAUUAGCAAAUGUACUUGCUGAAAAUAAUUAAAGUGACAUUUGACUGUUGUCGAUCGAGCUUGGUUAAUUACAAAAGGACAACACACACGGCUUGUAUAGAAAACACCAUGAAAAACCGAACCAAAACACAUUGAAUUCAAUUGAAAAGCAUUCAAUCAUUAAAAUGCAAAUUCCUGCUGACUACAACACCACGCCCCGCCGCCCAUUCGCUGUAAGUACAUAAAUUUGUGUUUAAAUUCAUUAAUGCCUCCGACUCGGCCUGUAUGGCAUUAAUUGAGCAUUUUAAUGGCGAAAUUACAACGCCUAACUGGCGCAUUAAUUAAAAUACAGGCGGUUC
This is a non-coding RNA of Drosophila melanogaster (fruit fly), 1011 nucleotides long. NCBI's taxonomy places the organism in Eukaryota, Metazoa, Arthropoda, Insecta, Diptera, Drosophilidae. The record is from Ensembl.